AAGUGAGAAGCAAAUAUUGCAAUCAGUUUCGACCUGAUCUUAGAUAAACUUUUAUCCUUACUUU
RNAcentral lists this transfer RNA (64 nucleotides) under Cavitermes tuberosus. RNAcentral's name for it is "tRNA-Arg". Lineage: Eukaryota; Metazoa; Arthropoda; Insecta; Blattodea; Termitidae. The record is from RNAcentral.